Molecule: long non-coding RNA, 119 nt
Organism: Fundulus heteroclitus (mummichog)
Lineage: Eukaryota; Metazoa; Chordata; Actinopteri; Cyprinodontiformes; Fundulidae
Exons: 2
Source: RefSeq, a predicted model, not a curated record
CUGAAGAAGCAAAGAACCGUGUUUCACUCUUUUAGCCUACUUCCUGUUGUCAAACCGGUUCUGUUUAAAGGAUUUCCUGAUUCUGACGGUCAGGCCUGAGUGUGGUGAGCACAACCAAA